GUGAGACAGUUCGGUCCCUAUCUGCCGUGGGCGCUGGAGAACUGAGGGGGGCUGCUCCUAGUACGAGAGGACCGGAGUGGACGCAUCACUGGUGUUCGG
This 99-nucleotide ribosomal RNA is filed under the name Salmonella enterica subsp. enterica. RNAcentral describes it as "partial 23S ribosomal RNA". It matches the Rfam family "Bacterial large subunit ribosomal RNA", at positions 2621 to 2719 of the family's 2925-position model. The record is from RNAcentral. Lineage: Bacteria; Pseudomonadati; Pseudomonadota; Gammaproteobacteria; Enterobacterales; Enterobacteriaceae.